GUCCAGCCUGCCCAGUGACACAGUUUAACGGCCGCGGUAUCCUGACCGUGCGAAGGUAGUUGUUCUUUAAAUAGGGACUAGUAUCAACGGCAGAGGGUUAUACUGUCUCCUCUCUCCAAUCAGUGAAACUGAUCUCCCCGUGAAGAAGCGGGGAUAAAUAUAUAAGACGAGAAGACCCCAUGGAGCUUUAAACCCAACAGCAAUUUUCCCCACAAAAUUCUGCAUAGCACGAAAAUUCUGCCUGUUGGUUUUGGGUUGGGGUGACCGCGGAGAAAAACUAAACCUCCACGAUGAACGGAAUUAACUCCUAAUUCAAGAGCCACUGCUCUAACAAUCAAUAAAUUGACAUAAACUGAUCCGAUAAUCGAUCAACGGACCAAGUUACCCUGGGGAUAACAGCGCAAUCUACUUCAAGAGCUCCUAUCGACAAGUGGGUUUACGACCUCGAUGUUGGAUCAGGGUAUCCCAGUGGUGCAGCCGCUACUAAAGGUUUGUUUGUUCAACAAUUAAAACCCUACGUGAUCU
Molecule: ribosomal RNA, 525 nt
Rfam family: Bacterial large subunit ribosomal RNA